RNAcentral lists this ribosomal RNA (447 nucleotides) under uncultured bacterium. RNAcentral describes it as "bacterial SSU rRNA". It matches the Rfam family "Bacterial small subunit ribosomal RNA", at positions 355 to 825 of the family's 1533-position model. The record is from RNAcentral.
UGGGGAAUAUUGGACAAUGGGCGCAAGCCUGAUCCAGCCAUGCCGCGUGAGUGACGAAGGUCUUCGGAUUGUAAAGCUCUUUUGCCAGGGACGAUAAUGACGGUACCUGGAGAAUAAGCCCCGGCUAACUUCGUGCCAGCAGCCGCGGUAAUACGAAGGGGGCUAGCGUUGUUCGGAAUUACUGGGCGUAAAGCGCACGUAGGCGGAUUUGUUAGUCAGGGGUGAAAUCCCGGGGCUCAACCUCGGAACUGCCUUUGAUACUGCAAGUCUCGAGUCCGAUAGAGGUGAGUGGAAUUACUAGUGUAGAGGUGAAAUUCGUAGAUAUUAGGAAGAACACCAGUGGCGAAGGCGGCUCACUGGAUCGGUACUGACGCUGAGGUGCGAAAGCGUGGGGAGCAAACAGGAUUAGAUACCCCUGUAGUCCCUGAGCGGGCUGGCAAGGCGCAU